This 148-nucleotide non-coding RNA is filed under the name Homo sapiens (human). Lineage: Eukaryota; Metazoa; Chordata; Mammalia; Primates; Hominidae. The record is from Rfam by way of RNAcentral.
GCCGGGCAUAGUGGUGUGUGCCUGUAAUCCCAGCUACUCGGGAGGCUGAGGCAGGAGAAUCGCUUGAACCCGGGAGGCAGAGGUUGCAGUGAGCUGAGAUCACGCCACUGCACUCCAGCCUGGGCGACAGAGUGAGACUCCGCCUCCA